UUAAAAAGAACAAAAUGAUACCAUUAAUUAAUCUGCAGUCUGCCCUUUCUCAGGGGCGGAUGUAGUGCAUUAUCGACGGGUUCAAUUGAACCCAUAACUUUCGACGCGGAGUAAAAAUUUAUAUGUAAAAAUUUAUUAAAAUUGCAAAAAUAGUAAAUAUGAACCCAUAACUUUAAAUAUAUAAUGGAUUCAACGCUAAAAAUUUCAAAAGUUGAACCCCUAAGAUUUAAAUCCUGGAUCCGCCUCUACCUUUCUUAAGUAGUCCACAUACACAUAAUACAUAGUACAAGUAAUGGCAAAUCCAAUAUAUUUCAAAAAGGGCAAAUCUAUAUGCCACUCAUUGCCUUAAUAGUCUGCAUAUCCGAAAAUUAUGGUAAUCUCAACAAAACUCCCCGUUUGAGUUUCACUAGUUGAAUGGUAGCCUGAUUGAAAAGCAUAUUUGGAAAUCCAAAAAUAAUAAGGGAAAGAGUUAAAAUACAACAUGUUAAUAUAUAUAUAUAAGGUAAAUCCUGAAUAAAUAAAUAGAUAAAUAAGAGAGAAGCUUACCCUAACUUCAAAGAUGUAUCUGAGCAAUCAUCCUCAACAGGAGUACCAUUGUUACAACUGCAUGCAGACAUUGGUGGAGAACAAGUAAUCAAAAUGCAGCUUAUUGUCACAUGAAUUUCAUUUAAAUUAUAUACACAAACAAUGUAAAAAAAAAAUCUUACACUACUAUCUGAUGACCUAGAAGUUAACUAUACGUAAUUACCAUAUUAAGUGGAACAAAUAAUUCGAUAAAUAAGGCAGAUAACAAGUUAAACUUUCACCGUACUUAAUUUAUGUCGUUAGUGUAAAAGACAACUCAGUGUACGAAGUAUUUUGUGAAACCGCACUCUAAGUGGGAGUGAUGUAGACAACCUAUCUCUCAUUUCAUGGCUCGAAUCAAUAUCCUACGGGUCACAGGGAGACAACCUUAUACUCUAAGGUUCCCCUUCUUAUGCCGCCAUUAGGAUAUAUAAGCUAAAUCCUUGCUCCAAGUGCAGCCUUGGCGUAACAGAUAAAGUUGUUGCCAUGUGACCAGGAGGUCACGGGUUCGAGCCGUGGAAAAGCCUCUUGCGGUGAAAUGCAGGGUAAAGCUGCGAUACAAUAGACCUUUGUAGUCCGAUCCUUCUCCCGGACCCUGCUAUAAAGAGUAUAUAUAAGCAAAGCUUNN
Molecule: long non-coding RNA, 1192 nt
Filed under: Nicotiana tabacum (common tobacco)
Lineage: Eukaryota; Viridiplantae; Streptophyta; Magnoliopsida; Solanales; Solanaceae
Description: long non-coding RNA (NTAB_LNC016874)
Source: RNAcentral